UUGACAGCUUGUUGACGGCUCUGCAGAAUUUGGACUCGUGCGCUCCCGCAGUUGCGCCAGCAGGUGGCGCUGCAGACUAAGAAGCCCCCAAAACGAAGGGAAAUGGUGUGAUGCGCCUGGAAGGUUGAUCAGCUGGGAUUCUACAGCAAGGAAGGGAGCAUUCAGAGCAGAGGUAGGAGUCCAGGUGACACGAGCACCUGCCCAUGUCCUACAUAUGCAGAGAUCCAGAGGCUUACUUACGUGCAUAAGCAAGGACCAACGUCGCACCAGAAUGAGGCUUUCCCAGGCAUGAUCCCCUUGAAUCCUCAUUACUGCCCUAAUGGAUGUAUCAACAGGCUACCAUAUUAAAGAGGAGGAAAUGGAGGCACAGAAGGUUAAGCAACUUGCCCAAGGUCGCAAAGCCAGAGCAUGAGAGCUGGGAUUUUAACUCCCAAGAGUGUGAUGUAAACCAGUGCCCUCCCCUGCCUGCUGGCAACAGGGAUACAGGGGCACGUCCUCCUACAAGCCCCCUGCAGUCUCUGGGAAGCCAUGGGGCCACUUCUCCUAUCACAGCUCCACCUACGCAGUGAGGGGCAGGAGCUCUCUGGCUGCUGGGGGAGCUGUAGAGGAGGCAGGAGUAAAGCGGGGAGACCAAUGAGGAGGCUGCAGAGAUGAUCCAGCUCUGGAGACCAGAAGUCCAAAAUCACAUGUCUGCAGGGCCGCAUCCCUCUGAAGGCUCUAGGGGAAAAUCAUUCCUUGGCUCCUUCAGCUCCUGGUGCCUCCAGUCGCUCCUUGGCUGGUGGCUCUGUCCCUCCAAUCUCUGGCUCUUUGGUCACCCCACCUCCUCCUCAGGAUGCUGGUGCAAUCUCCCUUUGCCUCUUGUAUAAGGGACACCUGUAAUGGCAUUUAGGGCUAUCCCAGAUGAUCCAGGGCGAUCUCCUCAUCUCAAAAUCCUCAAUUUAAUCUCAUCUGCAAAGAUCCUUUUUCCAAAUAAGGUAACAUUUGUAAAUCCCGGGAAUUAGGACUUUAUAUCUUUGGGUAGCCAUAUAUAACCCACUAUACCAGGGAUUGGAGGAAAGGGUGCUGACUACAAAGGGCCACGAGGAAACUUUUUCGUGAUGGAAAUGUUCUAUUACAUAUCAGUGUUGGUUGUGGUUACAUGGUUUAUACAUUUGUCAAAACUCAUGGAACUAUACCCUAAAAGGGGUGACUUUUACAAUAUGUAAGCCAGAUGUUUCAUAAAAAGAAAAAAUAAUAACUAUAUGAUGUAGGUACUAUAAUUUUACAGAUGGGGAAACUGAGG
Choloepus didactylus (southern two-toed sloth) is the source of this 1282-nucleotide long non-coding RNA. RefSeq lists it as uncharacterized. The transcript has 5 exons. NCBI's taxonomy places the organism in Eukaryota, Metazoa, Chordata, Mammalia, Pilosa, Megalonychidae. The record is from RefSeq and is a predicted model, not a curated record.